GAUGAACGCUGGCGGCGUGCCUAAUACAUGCAAGUCGAACGAGAUCUUCGGAUCUAGUGGCGGACGGGUGAGUAACACGUUGGUACCUACCCGAAGUGGGGAAUAACUGCCCGAAAGGGUGGCUAAUACCGCAUAAUACCGUAAGGUUAAAGCAUUUAUGCGCUUCGGGAGGGGCCUGCGUCCCAUUAGCUAGUUGGUAGGUAAUUGCCUACAAGGCGACGAUGGGUAGCUGGAUCGAGAGGUUGACCAGCCACAC
Molecule: ribosomal RNA, 256 nt
Filed under: uncultured bacterium
Lineage: Bacteria
Description: partial 16S ribosomal RNA
Rfam family: Bacterial small subunit ribosomal RNA
Source: RNAcentral